AUGCAGUCGAGCGGUAAGGCCCUUCGGGGUACACGAGCGGCGAACGGGUGAGUAACACGUGAGCAACCUGCCCCUGACUCUGGGAUAAGCGGUGGAAACGCCGUCUAAUACCGGAUACGACCCACCACCUCAUGGUGGAGGGUGGAAAGUUUUAUCGGUCAGGGAUGGGCUCGCGGCCUAUCAGCUUGUUGGUGGGGUAACGGCCUACCAAGGCGAUUACGGGUAGCCGGCCUGAGAGGGCGACCGGCCACACUGGGACUGAGACACGGCCCAGACUCCUGCGGGAGGCAGCAGUGGGGAAUAUUGCACAAUGGGCGAAAGCCUGAUGCAGCGACGCCGCGUGGGGGAUGACGGCCUUCGGGUUGUAAACCUCUUUUACCACCAACGCAGGCUCCACGUUCUCGUGGGGUUGACGGUAGGUGGGGAAUAAGGACCGGCUAACUACGUGCCAGCAGCCGCGGUAAUACGUAGGGUCCGAGCGUUGUCCGGAAUUAUUGGGCGUAAAGAGCUCGUAGGCGGCAUGUCGCGUCUGCUGUGAAAGACCGGGGCUUAACUCCGGUUCUGCAGUGGAUACGGGCAUGCUAGAGGUAUGUAGGGGAGACUGGAAUUCCUGGUGUAGCG
Molecule: ribosomal RNA, 621 nt
Filed under: Nocardiopsis sp. BPSEAC3
Lineage: Bacteria; Bacillati; Actinomycetota; Actinomycetes; Streptosporangiales; Nocardiopsidaceae
Description: bacterial SSU rRNA
Rfam family: Bacterial small subunit ribosomal RNA
Source: RNAcentral